This 254-nucleotide ribosomal RNA is filed under the name uncultured bacterium. Its description in RNAcentral is "partial 16S ribosomal RNA". It matches the Rfam family "Bacterial small subunit ribosomal RNA", at positions 524 to 776 of the family's 1533-position model. The record is from RNAcentral.
CACGUAGGGUGCAAGCGUUGUCCGGAAUCAUUGGGCGUAAAGAGCUCGUAGGCGGCUUAGUAAGUCGGGUGUGAAACCUCCAGGCUCAACCUGGAGACGCCACCCGAUACUGCUAUAGCUAGAGUCCAGUAGGGGAGUGCGGAAUUCCCGGUGUAGCGGUGAAAUGCGCAGAUAUCGGGAGGAACACCAGCGGCGAAGGCGGCACUCUGGGACGUUACUGACGCUGAGACGCGAAAGCGUGGGGAGCAAACAGG